GUUGAAACACCGAUUUCUUACGAUCACCGAAAUUAAGCAACAUAGAGCCUGGUGAGUACCUGGAUGGGUGACCACUUGGGAAUACUAGAUACUGUAAG
This is a non-coding RNA of Acanthosepion pharaonis, 98 nucleotides long. The record is from the annotation of a GenBank genome assembly. NCBI's taxonomy places the organism in Eukaryota, Metazoa, Mollusca, Cephalopoda, Sepiida, Sepiidae.